UACGUAGGUGGCGAGCGUUGUCCGGAAUUACUGGGCGUAAAGGGUGCGUAGGCGGCUCCUUAAGUGAGGUGUGAAAUCCCUGGGCUCAACCCAGGAACUGCACUUCAAACUGGGGAGCUAGAGUGCAGGAGAGGAAAGCGGAAUUCCAGGUGUAGCGGUGAAAUGCGUAGAGAUCGGGAGGAACACCAGUGGCGAAGGCGGCUUUCUGGACUGUAACUGACGCUAAGGCAAGAAAGCGUGGGGAGCAAACAGG
This 253-nucleotide ribosomal RNA is filed under the name uncultured bacterium. Its description in RNAcentral is "partial 16S ribosomal RNA". It matches the Rfam family "Bacterial small subunit ribosomal RNA", at positions 524 to 776 of the family's 1533-position model. The record is from RNAcentral.